UCUGGGCCUGAAAGGCUCUGGGCCUGGAGCAGAGAUACCUGCAGGCUCAGCUGCAGUGACCUACAUCGGCUCUCCCCUAGGCCUGGGCUGUGGGGGCUGAAGUUUCCAGAGAGCAGCUUGGGGAUCAGGCACAGGGCCUUGGUGGACAGAUCAGAAGAUUCUCCUCCCACAAAUGCAGAAGUUUUGAGCAGUGAGCCCCUUCAGUAGGACGGAGAGACCCCUGUCAGGGAUCUGAAAGUGGGUUUUUGCUUUUGUUUGAGUCUCUUCAUUCUCGAUAAACGCAUCCCAGCCAGCUG
Peromyscus maniculatus bairdii (prairie deer mouse) is the source of this 296-nucleotide non-coding RNA. Lineage: Eukaryota; Metazoa; Chordata; Mammalia; Rodentia; Cricetidae. The record is from RefSeq and is a predicted model, not a curated record.